Molecule: ribosomal RNA, 253 nt
Filed under: uncultured bacterium
Lineage: Bacteria
Description: partial 16S ribosomal RNA
Rfam family: Bacterial small subunit ribosomal RNA
Source: RNAcentral
UACGUAGGGUGCUAGCGUUGUCCGGAUUUAUUGGGCGUAAAGGGCGCGUAGGCGGUGCGGCAAGUCACCUGUGAAAUCUCCUGGCUCAACUGGGAGCUUGCAGGCGAAACUGCCGUGCUGGAGUGUGGGAGAGGUGCGUGGAAUUCCCGGUGUAGCGGUGAAAUGCGUAGAUAUCUGGAGGAACACCUGUGGCGAAAGCGGCGCACUGGACCACAACUGACGCUGAGGCGCGAAAGCUAGGGGAGCAAACAGG